GGGCACGUGGUGUAGUUGGUUAUCACGCUCGCUUAGCACUUCUGACGAGAACUUGCGAGAGGGGUCCGGUUCAAUCCCGGACGUGUCCA
This 89-nucleotide transfer RNA is filed under the name Thelephora ganbajun. RNAcentral describes it as "tRNA-Ala". Lineage: Eukaryota; Fungi; Basidiomycota; Agaricomycetes; Thelephorales; Thelephoraceae. The record is from RNAcentral.